RNAcentral lists this ribosomal RNA (445 nucleotides) under uncultured Desulfocapsa sp. Its description in RNAcentral is "bacterial SSU rRNA". It matches the Rfam family "Bacterial small subunit ribosomal RNA", at positions 941 to 1382 of the family's 1533-position model. Lineage: Bacteria; Pseudomonadati; Thermodesulfobacteriota; Desulfobulbia; Desulfobulbales; Desulfocapsaceae. The record is from RNAcentral.
GUUGUUUAAUUCGACGCAACGCGCAGAACCUUUACCUGGUCUUGACAUCCCGAGAAUUUUCUGGAAACAGAGAGUGCCUCGCAAGAGGAAUUCGGAGACAGGUGCUGCAUGGCUGUCGUCAGCUCGUGUCGUGAGAUGUUGGGUUAAGUCCCGCAACGAGCGCAACCCUUGUCUUUAGUUGCCAUCAUUAAGUUGGGCACUCUAAAGAGACUGCCGGUGUCAAACCGGAGGAAGGUGGGGAUGACGUCAAGUCCUCAUGGCCUUUAUGACCAGGGCUACACACGUACUACAAUGGCAGGUACAAAGGGCAGCCACUUAGCGAUAAGGCGCGAAUCCCGUAAAACCUGUCUCAGUCCGGAUUGGAGUCUGCAACUCGACUCCAUGAAGUUGGAAUCGCUAGUAAUCGCAGAUCAGCACGCUGCGGUCGAAUACGUUCCCGGGCCUU